RNAcentral lists this ribosomal RNA (485 nucleotides) under uncultured Comamonadaceae bacterium. Its description in RNAcentral is "bacterial SSU rRNA". It matches the Rfam family "Bacterial small subunit ribosomal RNA", at positions 300 to 777 of the family's 1533-position model. The record is from RNAcentral. Lineage: Bacteria; Pseudomonadati; Pseudomonadota; Betaproteobacteria; Burkholderiales; Comamonadaceae.
ACGACCAGCCACACUGGGACUGAGACACGGCCCAGACUCCUACGGGAGGCAGCAGUGGGGAAUUUUGGACAAUGGGCGAAAGCCUGAUCCAGCCAUGCCGCGUGCAGGAUGAAGGCCUUCGGGUUGUAAACUGCUUUUGUACGGAACGAAACGGCCUUUUCUAAUAAAGAGGGCUAAUGACGGUACCGUAAGAAUAAGCACCGGCUAACUACGUGCCAGCAGCCGCGGUAAUACGUAGGGUGCAAGCGUUAAUCGGAAUUACUGGGCGUAAAGCGUGCGCAGGCGGUUAUGUAAGACAGUUGUGAAAUCCCCGGGCUCAACCUGGGAACUGCAUCUGUGACUGCAUAGCUAGAGUACGGUAGAGGGGGAUGGAAUUCCGCGUGUAGCAGUGAAAUGCGUAGAUAUGCGGAGGAACACCGAUGGCGAAGGCAAUCCCCUGGACCUGUACUGACGCUCAUGCACGAAAGCGUGGGGAGCAAAAAGGG